This 692-nucleotide long non-coding RNA is filed under the name Homo sapiens (human). RNAcentral's name for it is "HSALNT0322340". The record is from RNAcentral. Lineage: Eukaryota; Metazoa; Chordata; Mammalia; Primates; Hominidae.
UUCACUCCCGUUGUUUGGCAAGUGGGAGGAAGUGUCACAGCUCUUUUAUUUCUGCCACCCACAGCUUGGUGAGUAGGAGCAUUACAGCUCUUUUGCUCCCACAGUUCAGCAAAUUCUGAGUUCCUGUCCCAUGACCAAGAGGAAUGAGGAACAUGGACACCGGAGAAUGAGUAAGGCAGAGUAGAAUUUUAUUCAUCAGCGAGAGGGGACCUGAAAGCAGGUCGCCAUCUGUGAGGAUUAAAGUUAGGACCAAAUGCUGCUCAGAAAUUGUUUUAAUCUCAAAAGUAGUUGGCAAGUUUUCAGAGUUCAUUUUCAAGGCCUGGUGUAUGCAUUGGUUACAUGAAAACCGUGUGACAACCUUGGAAGUCUGAAAGAGCAGGAGAGAGGCUAAGCACACACAUAUUGUGAUUUUAAGAGUCUCAAGGGCUGACACAAGCUGAGAUGAGGAAAUAUGACCUCCUACACGUGUUUUCCAUGAGGAAUAUGUUUGCUGUGCAGUCACUGAGUUAAAAGCAACCUUCAUUCCCUUGUGCACCAAGGUAGUGCCUCUCCAGAGCUGUAGAUGUCUUCCCAGGAUAUUCCAUCAUUCUACACAGCAUUUAAUUCUUGGAGCUCACAGUCCAAGACUGUUAUCAGUCCAUUUUCACUCUAUUGAUCAAGACAUACUCAAGACUGGGUAAUUUAUAAAGAAA